AAAAAGAUAAGCUAAUUAAGCUAUUAGGUUCAUACCCUAAUUAUAGAAGUUAUUAAUCUUCUUCUUUUUA
This 70-nucleotide transfer RNA is filed under the name Panorpa fulvastra. Its description in RNAcentral is "tRNA-Met". Lineage: Eukaryota; Metazoa; Arthropoda; Insecta; Mecoptera; Panorpidae. The record is from RNAcentral.